ACACCUCAACUCUCAUGGUCCGCCAUGAUGAGCUUGGACUUUGGGGGUCUUGUCGGCUUAACCGUUGGCUCCUCUCAAACGAAUCAGCUUGCCAGUGUUUGGUGGCAUCACAGGUGUGAUAACUAUCUACGCUUGUGCCCCCCCACCAGGUAACCUUCAGCGAUGAAGGUUCGCUGGAGCUCACAGACGUCUCUCCCCAAGGAGGACAGCUUUUGAAC
RNAcentral lists this unclassified non-coding RNA (218 nucleotides) under uncultured Tomentella. RNAcentral describes it as "partial internal transcribed spacer 2". The record is from RNAcentral. Lineage: Eukaryota; Fungi; Basidiomycota; Agaricomycetes; Thelephorales; Thelephoraceae.